This 447-nucleotide ribosomal RNA is filed under the name uncultured bacterium. RNAcentral's name for it is "bacterial SSU rRNA". It matches the Rfam family "Bacterial small subunit ribosomal RNA", at positions 328 to 792 of the family's 1533-position model. The record is from RNAcentral.
UGUCCAGACUCCUACGGGAGGCAGCAGUGGGGAAUAUUGCACAAUGGGGGAAACCCUGAUGCAGCGACGCCGCGUGAGUGAAGAAGUAAUUCGUUAUGUAAAGCUCUAUCAGCAGGGAAGAAAAUGACGGUACCUGAAGAAGAAGCCCCGGCUAACUACGUGCCAGCAGCCGCGGUAAUACGUAGGGGGCAAGCGCUAUCCGGAUUUACUGGGUGUAAAGGGGGCGCAGACGGCGAUGCAAGCCAGGAGUGAAAGCCCGGGGCCCAACCCCGGGACUGCUCUUGGAACUGCGUGGCUGGAGUGCAGGAGGGGCAGGCGGAAUUCCUGGUGUAGCGGUGAAAUGCGUAGAUAUUAGGAGGAACACCAGUGGCGAAGGCGGCCUGCUGGGCUUUUACUGACGCUGAGGCUCGAAAGUGUGGGGAGCAAACAGGAUUAGAUACCCGGGUA